RNAcentral lists this ribosomal RNA (450 nucleotides) under uncultured bacterium. RNAcentral describes it as "bacterial SSU rRNA". It matches the Rfam family "Bacterial small subunit ribosomal RNA", at positions 354 to 796 of the family's 1533-position model. The record is from RNAcentral.
GUGGGGAAUAUUGGACAAUGGGCGAAAGCCUGAUCCAGCCAUACCGCGUGUGUGAAGAAGGUCUUCGGAUUGUAAAGCACUUUAAGUUGGGAGGAAGGGCAGUAAGUUAAUACCUUGCUGUUUUGACGUUACCGACAGAAUAAGCACCGGCUAACUUCGUGCCAGCAGCCGCGGUAAUACGAAGGGUGCAAGCGUUAAUCGGAAUUACUGGGCGUAAAGCGCGCGUAGGUGGUUUUGUAAGUUGGAGGUGAAAUCCCCGGGCUCAACCUGGGAACUGCCUCCAAAACUGCAUGACUAGAGUACGGUAGAGGGUAGUGGAAUUUCCUGUGUAGCGGUGAAAUGCGUAGAUAUAGGAAGGAACACCAGUGGCGAAGGCGACUACCUGGACUGAUACUGACACUGAGGUGCGAAAGCGUGGGGAGCAAACAGGAUUAGAAACCCGAGUAGUCC